UACGGAAGGCAGCAGUGGGGAAUAUUGCACAAUGGGCGCAAGCCUGAUGCAGCCAUGCCGCGUGUAUGAAGAAGGCCUUCGGGUUGUAAAGUACUUUCAGCGGGGAGGAAGGCGAUGUGGUUAAUAACCGCAUCGAUUGACGUUACCCGCAGAAGAAGCACCGGCUAACUCCGUGCCAGCAGCCGCGGUAAUACGGAGGUGCAAGCGUUAAUCGGAAUUACUGGGCGUAAAAGCGCACGCAGGCGGUCUGUCAAGUCGGAUGUGAAAUCCCCGGGCUUAACCUGGGAACUGCAUUCGAAACUGGCAGGCUAGAGUCUUGUAGAGGGGGUAGAAUUCCAGGUGUAGCGGUGAAAUGCGUAGAGAUCUGGAGGAAAUACCGGUGGCGAAAGGGCGGGCCCCCUGGGCAAAAGACUGACGCUCAGGUGCGAAAAGCGUGGGGAGCGAAAACAGGAUUUAGGAUAACCCGGU
RNAcentral lists this ribosomal RNA (468 nucleotides) under uncultured bacterium. Its description in RNAcentral is "bacterial SSU rRNA". It matches the Rfam family "Bacterial small subunit ribosomal RNA", at positions 340 to 791 of the family's 1533-position model. The record is from RNAcentral.